This 320-nucleotide ribosomal RNA is filed under the name uncultured bacterium. RNAcentral's name for it is "bacterial SSU rRNA". It matches the Rfam family "Bacterial small subunit ribosomal RNA", at positions 470 to 789 of the family's 1533-position model. The record is from RNAcentral.
UGACGGUACCUGACUAAGAAGCCCCGGCUAAAUACGUGCCAGCAGCCGCGGUAAUACGUAUGGUGCAAGCGUUAUCCGGAUUUACUGGGUGUAAAGGGAGCGUAGGCGGCCUUGCAAGUCUGAUGUGAAAGGCCGGGGCUCAACCCCGGGACUGCAUUGGAAACUGUAUUGCUGGAGUGCCGGAGAGGUAAGCGGAAUUCCUAGUGUAGCGGUGAAAUGCGUAGAUAUUAGGAGGAACACCAGUGGCGAAGGCGGCUUACUGGACGGUAACUGACGUUGAGGCUCGAAAGCGUGGGGAGCAAACAGGAUUAGAUACCCUG